This is a long non-coding RNA of Culex pipiens pallens (northern house mosquito), 753 nucleotides long. RefSeq lists it as uncharacterized. The record is from RefSeq and is a predicted model, not a curated record. NCBI's taxonomy places the organism in Eukaryota, Metazoa, Arthropoda, Insecta, Diptera, Culicidae. The transcript has 3 exons.
CCUAUCGCUUGUACGUAGUACAAUCUCUGGUCACAAUGCUUCGCAUCAUCCUGUCAAACUGAACCGUAGGGACAAGUUAGGAUAUUGUAAUCAACCAUUACACUUAAACAACAUACAAAACAUGGUAUCCCUAUUCCUAAAACGGUUAGCACGACUCACAUCUCUUUGAGCAAUUUUCGAAAUACGCAAGAACAAAGACUUAAAAUUAAUAAAAGGGACUUCGUCAUUUUGAAUCGUCCUCAUUUGCCGCUACCGACCAGAGUCCGUUACACAUACUCUGGUCAAACGAACAAAUUGUGAACGUUUUGUAAUUUAAAGUGCUGUGAAUAUCUGUUAUUUGUACCCAGCAUUCCUGUAGCCGGCGAAAUGGUAAAAUUAGUUCUUGUAUUUUAUUGAGUCGUGUCUAAUUAGUGUCUUAAUUGUUAAUUGUAGUGUCAGGGAGUUGGUCCCAACCCGCACCAUCCAAACUAACCGUCAAGGACCGCGCUCUACGUCAAAAGUGGUCGUUUGGUUGGUGGUGCAAGGAGGUAACAAAAAUGUGAACCUCCAAGUUGGCAGAGCGCGCCAACCCGAGAAUCUGUUAGAGCGCAAUGGCGGAGGCCAUCCGGUUUUUAUCCAAGACAAAGACACAAAACCAAAGACACCAAAACCGUUGCUGCGCCAGGCCUGGCCGGAGGAAGAUCCUCCGACUUGACUCGACCACCACGGGAUACACUAGAACACACGAACACACACACACAUGGUUAGGUUAGU